GACGAACGCUGGCGGCGUGCUUAACACAUGCAAGUCGAACGGAAAGGCCCUGCUUUUGUGGGGUGCUCGAGUGGCGAACGGGUGAGUAACACGUGAGUAACCUGCCCUUGACUUUGGGAUAACUUCAGGAAACUGGGGCUAAUACCGGAUAGGAGCUCCUGCUGCAUGGUGGGGGUUGGAAAGUUUCGGCGGUUGGGGAUGGACUCGCGGCUUAUCAGCUUGUUGGUGGGGUAGUGGCUUACCAAGGCUUUGACGGGUAGCCGGCCUGAGAGGGUGACCGGCCACAUUGCGACUGAGAUACGGCCCAGACUCCUACGGGAGGCAGCAGUGGGGAAUAUUGCACAGUGGGCGGAAGCCUGAUGCAGCAACGCCGCGUGCGGGAUGACGGCCUUCGGGUUGUAAACCGCUUUCGCCUGUGACGAAGCGUGAGUGACGGUAAUGGGUAAAGAAGCACCGGCUAACUACGUG
Molecule: ribosomal RNA, 468 nt
Filed under: uncultured bacterium
Lineage: Bacteria
Description: partial 16S ribosomal RNA
Rfam family: Bacterial small subunit ribosomal RNA
Source: RNAcentral